GCGGGUGUAGUGUAGUCUGGUAUCACUUAAGCUUGCCAGGCCGUAGACAGCUUAUAACUCGGGUUCAAAUCCCGGCUCCCGCA
Molecule: transfer RNA, 83 nt
Filed under: Thermoplasmata archaeon
Lineage: Archaea; Methanobacteriati; Thermoplasmatota; Thermoplasmata
Description: tRNA-Gly
Rfam family: tRNA
About the family: Transfer RNA (tRNA) molecules are approximately 80 nucleotides in length.
Source: RNAcentral